RNAcentral lists this transfer RNA (76 nucleotides) under Clostridiales bacterium. Its description in RNAcentral is "tRNA-Thr". It matches the Rfam family "tRNA". Rfam says of the family: Transfer RNA (tRNA) molecules are approximately 80 nucleotides in length. The record is from RNAcentral. Lineage: Bacteria; Bacillati; Bacillota; Clostridia; Eubacteriales.
GCUUCCGUAGCUCAGCUGGCAGAGCAGCGCAUUCGUAAUGCGCAGGCCGUCGGUUCAAAUCCGACCGGGAGCUCCA